UGUAUUCUCCGUAUAAAUGUACGUAUAUGAAUUGAAUGACCUGAUCAAAGAUCCCGCGCUUGCCAAUCUCACCCCAGAAACCGAGGCAAGAGACCGCCACGACGCUGGUGAUCCCGGACGCGCAGACAUCCGAUAGUACCGAAUUAUCCGGAAACAUGACGGCGAAUGAAGACGUUAGACUCCUGUGAGAAGGAGCCCUGCGGAGCAGCGUGGAGGUUGUUGAUCUAAGGGUAGUUGUAGGCGAGAUUGGAAGAGUUAGGAAUCGUGGAAUCGGAGAGAAGAAGCAAGAAGAAGAGUCCACGAGGAGAAGGGAGGAGAUGCUCUUAGUAGCAGCCAUUUUUAAUCUGCUAAAUAUCCCAACAACGACAAAACAACUUUUCAUCAAACAAAUUUUUUUUUUAAUUAUUGCUUUAGAUUUUUUUUUUUUGACAUCAUAUUGGUACUGUUACUUUGCUCGUUGUUGCUUGGAUAUUUUAUUUUCUUUCUUCCAUAUGUUCAAACAGUGUAUGUGGUCAAAUCUAACGUUUUUUACUGUGUU
Molecule: long non-coding RNA, 538 nt
Organism: Brassica napus (rape)
Lineage: Eukaryota; Viridiplantae; Streptophyta; Magnoliopsida; Brassicales; Brassicaceae
Exons: 2
Source: RefSeq, a predicted model, not a curated record